Solanum lycopersicum (tomato) is the source of this 777-nucleotide long non-coding RNA. RefSeq lists it as uncharacterized. NCBI's taxonomy places the organism in Eukaryota, Viridiplantae, Streptophyta, Magnoliopsida, Solanales, Solanaceae. The record is from RefSeq and is marked validated.
GGUGGCCAAACGGGCCCUUAACGAAGCCCCAGUUAUUUGCCUGAAUUUUGAUUAAAUUAUCAUAAUCCACAAUACUUGUGCUUCCAUUUCCGUCUCCGGCGAACUUCUCCGUCUCCGGCGAAAUAAGACUUAAAAAAACAAAGCAUGGCAGAGCAAAUCCUCAGCUUGGGAGUCCUCAUAGAUGUUGUGGAUGAAGAAUGGAUGCGAGAUACCCUGCCUGCUGAUGGCUUUCAAGUUUGGUCCAAGAUUGGAUGAUGUGUUGUCUCAAUUGGGCAGCACUCCAGUUGCCGGUGAGAUGUUAAAUCUCCCGUUACCACCCGUACUACUUCCUAAGACUGAUGACAAUGAAGAUUCAAAUCAAGAGGCUCCACAAGUUGAUGGAGAUACAUGGCACGACCUUGCAUUGGAAAAUCACCGACAUUAAACUGAUCGAGCUUGUGGUUUGAUUUGCAACCACUAUCAUCAUAUGUAUUGUUGGUCAUGUACUUGUACGAAAACUAAGUUCAACUGUUCUAUCUCUUGAUAUAUUAUGUUGGUUAGUAGGUAUGAGUGCAUUGCGUGGUGUGUGGCAUGUCGUGGAGUUUGAACCUUUCUACAUACAAAAAAAACCCGCAAUUUAAGUGGAGAAAGUUUAGAGGAUCGAACCCAUUAUUCACCGAGUUUUAAACUCUGUGCAGCUAUAGCUUGUAUUUCUGCAAGGGUCUUGUUUGAAAUAUAAUGAGACUUGCUAUUAUAUGUCAUCAACCAAGCUAGUUGGUCCAAUUUUUGUCCCAAAAA